UCCCUGGUAGCCCAGUGGCUAAGACUCCACACUUCCAAUGCAGGGGGCUCAGGUUCAAUCCCUGAUCAGGGAA
Molecule: non-coding RNA, 73 nt
Organism: Bos taurus (domestic cattle)
Lineage: Eukaryota; Metazoa; Chordata; Mammalia; Artiodactyla; Bovidae
Source: Rfam